UACGUAGGUGGCGAGCGUUGUCCGGAUUUACUGGGCGUAAAGAGCGCGCAGGCGGUCGUACAAGUCGCGUGUGAAAGCCCCCGGCUCAACUGGGGAGGGUCACGCGAUACUGUUCGACUCGAAGGCAGGAGAGGGAAGUGGAAUUCCCGGUGUAGUGGUGAAAUGCGUAGAUAUCGGGAGGAACACCAAUGGCGAAGGCAGCUCGCUGGGACGGUACUGACGCUGAGGCGCGAAAGCGUGGGGAGCAAACAGG
Molecule: ribosomal RNA, 253 nt
Filed under: uncultured bacterium
Lineage: Bacteria
Description: partial 16S ribosomal RNA
Rfam family: Bacterial small subunit ribosomal RNA
Source: RNAcentral